Molecule: ribosomal RNA, 492 nt
Filed under: uncultured bacterium
Lineage: Bacteria
Description: partial 16S ribosomal RNA
Rfam family: Bacterial small subunit ribosomal RNA
Source: RNAcentral
GAUGAACGCUAGCUACAGGCUUAACACAUGCAAGUCGAGGGGAAACGACAUCGAAAGCUUGCUUUUGAUGGGCGUCGACCGGCGCACGGGUGAGUAACGCGUAUCCAACCUGCCCACCACUUGGGGAUAACCUUGCGAAAGUAAGACUAAUACCCAAUGAUAUCUCUAGAAGACAUCUGAAAGAGAUUAAAGAUUUAUCGGUGAUGGAUGGGGAUGCGUCUGAUUAGCUUGUUGGCGGGGUAACGGCCCACCAAGGCAACGAUCAGUAGGGGUUCUGAGAGGAAGGUCCCCCACAUUGGAACUGAGACACGGUCCAAACUCCUACGGGAGGCAGCAGUGAGGAAUAUUGAUCAAGGGACGAGAGUCUGAACCAGCCAAGUAGCGUGCAGGAAGACGGCCCUAUGGGUUGUAAACUGCUUUUAUAAGGGAAUAAAGUGAGUCUCGUGAGACUUUUUGCAUGUACCUGAUGAAUAAGGACCGGCUAAUUCCGUG